GAAUUGAAGAGUUUGAUCAUGGCUCAGAUUGAACGCUGGCGGCAGGCCUAACACAUGCAAGUCGAACGGUAACAGGAAACAGCUUGCUGUUUCGCUGACGAGUGGCGGACGGGUGAGUAAUGUCUGGGAAACUGCCUGAUGGAGGGGGAUAACUACUGGAAACGGUAGCUAAUACCGCAUAA
RNAcentral lists this ribosomal RNA (182 nucleotides) under Escherichia coli. RNAcentral's name for it is "partial 16S ribosomal RNA". It matches the Rfam family "Bacterial small subunit ribosomal RNA", at positions 1 to 176 of the family's 1533-position model. The record is from RNAcentral. Lineage: Bacteria; Pseudomonadati; Pseudomonadota; Gammaproteobacteria; Enterobacterales; Enterobacteriaceae.